GAAACAUUCAUUCAGACAAUCAUAAAGCAACUGAAUGAACUUAUACCAUCAUAUGACUAUGACACUUCCGAGGAAUAUUCUGCUACUAAAUAAGGGAUUUGCAUGGCUCGCUGCUGUCAUGAUAGUUUUACUGACUCAGAAGGCUGCCUCAACAUCUGCUGUUAUGGCCUGUGGGGUGUCUGUUGAUCCACCUGCCAGUAUUCAGAUAACAGAUCCUGGAAACCUGGGUUACCUUACAAUCCAGUGGGCUCAACCAGCCAGCCUCCGGAACCUCACAGACUGCAAACUGAGAUACCAACUCCGAUACUAUGACACCUAUGAGGAGCGCUGGAGGAUUAUCCGAACACAUAAACUGAGUUAUUCUGCCCAGUUUGACCUUGAGAAACCCAUCAAGAUAAGAAUUGUCACUCUGAUGAAAUGCACUUGCACCAAUGGGACAGAGGUCCAAGGAGAGGAGGCGGACAGGGAGUACACACCUGACCUUACAGGUGUGGAAGGGUCAAGAAUAAGAGAGUUUCACUGUGUUUUCCAUGGGAAGGAGUAUAUGGACUGCACGUGGGAGUCAGGACCGGUCCAGCCGCCAAAUUCACAGCACUACCUGUAUUACUGGCAUAGAGAAAUGGAUGAAACGAAGGAAUGUCCAGAAUACAUCAUAUUAAAUGAGGUUCGGCGAGGAUGCAGGUUUCCUCAUCAAUCUCUGUUAGAGUUCACUCAGUUUAAUAUGUGUGUCAAUGGAUCAUCUGCAGCUGGGAGCCUGAGAGCGGCCUUCUUCUCUUUGGAGGUCCAAAAUUAUGUAAAACCAGGAGCGGUUUCCUCUCUUCAGAUGUUGGAGACUGAUGAACUGUUGAGGUUAGAUUGGGUGCCACCCAGUGGUUUAGUUCCAGAUCACUGCUUGGAAUAUGAGGUGGAGAGCAAUGUUAUGAUGAAAGAUGGCAAAGAAAAAGAGCUCAGGAAACUUUUUGAGGAAACAUCGGGCGAUUUCCAGAAGGAUGGAGAAAGUAAAUUUACCUGCUUUCGGGUCAGGUCAAAGAUGAGCAUGUACUGUGCUGAUCAGGGACUUUGGAGCGAUUGGAGCCCAACAACAUGUACAGCUAAUUCACAAAUUUCUCAUGCUAAUUCCCCUAUCAGCAUCAGGAGAGGAAACCCAAUAUAUACCAUCAUGGCAUCUUCUUAAUAUGGUGUUGGGUAUCACUUUUGUUGUAUUCUUCAUCCUCUGUCUUUCAUUGUGGAUUUUAAAGAAGUUGUGCAGAAAGAAGGACGUUAUCUACACUUUAUACAAGCAGGAGAUUAAUGAAACCUUUCCCACAGCCUUAAGUCCCAUUUUCCAGUGAUUCAAUAGCAUUAUAUUUCUGUCACGUGAUAAUAUUUUGUUUCAGUUUUGUGCCAAAUUGACGUGUCUAUUAUGCAUUACCAUUUAAGCAUUCUUAACUGCACUGAAUGUAUGAUGGUCAGAAAGAUAACAAUAGCUGAUAUGAUGACAGAUGAAUUAUGUGGACCACAGCAUUUACCUGAAUUUAUGAACCAGAUUGUAUACUGACCGACUAUAUUACUUGUUAUGUUUACAUGGACGUGUAAAUUAUCAAAGUUACUCAUACAAUAGAUUUUCCAAAUGCCUAGGAGCUUGCCAGUUUCACACUUUCUUUAUUACCUUGUUCAUGACUGUUUCAGUAUUUGAGAUAUGUAUUACUGUUGCUCACAUUAUGAAGUAACACUUUUUACACAAUCAAAUAAAUACACAAUAAAAGAAUAUAUUACACAAAACACACUGAUGGAAAACUACA
This is an RNA transcript of Triplophysa dalaica, 1781 nucleotides long. It is a transcript of the gene named interleukin 13 receptor, alpha 2, with no coding region annotated. The transcript is spliced from 10 exons. The record is from RefSeq and is a predicted model, not a curated record. Lineage: Eukaryota; Metazoa; Chordata; Actinopteri; Cypriniformes; Nemacheilidae.